UACGUAGGGUGCAAGCGUUGUCCGGAAUUAUUGGGCGUAAAGGGCGCGUAGGCGGCUGAACAAGUCAAAGGUGAAAUCCCUCGGCUCAACUGAGGAACUGCCUUUGAAACUGUUCGGCUUGAGGCCGGGAGGGGGUAGCGGAAUUCCCAGUGUAGCGGUGAAAUGCGUAGAUAUUGGGAGGAACACCAGUGGCGAAGGCGGCUACCUGGACCGGUUCUGACGCUGAGGCGCGAAAGCGUGGGUAGCAAACAGG
Molecule: ribosomal RNA, 253 nt
Filed under: uncultured bacterium
Lineage: Bacteria
Description: partial 16S ribosomal RNA
Rfam family: Bacterial small subunit ribosomal RNA
Source: RNAcentral